GUGUAUUUGUAUUAGUAUUCUAAAUCAUAAACAGUACACAAAUAGGUAUAAAAAUCAUUCAACGAAAUAUGAAAUUGCCAAUUGCUACCUUUGCAAUUUUUUUAAUUGUCUGUCUUGUUUUAGUCAAAUGUGCGCCUAAAGAUGACAAAGAUGGAAAAGUAGUGGGUCCAAGAGUCAAUCGUCUGAAAAGAGCUCCAUUUUGCCUGGGAUGUAAUUUAACAUGUAAAGUAAUGGGAAUGAAAUAUGGAAAAUGCGAAAAUGGCUUAUGUGUCUGCUACUGGUCCUAACUCGAUCAACGUCGAAAUCAAUCAUCUCAAAGUCAAAUGUUACAUGUUAACUCAUCUCUCAGUGUUAAACAUUUAAAUAAAAGCGUUGUUAUUAA
Agrilus planipennis (emerald ash borer) is the source of this 382-nucleotide long non-coding RNA. RefSeq lists it as uncharacterized. The transcript is spliced from 2 exons. Lineage: Eukaryota; Metazoa; Arthropoda; Insecta; Coleoptera; Buprestidae. The record is from RefSeq and is a predicted model, not a curated record.